ACGUAGGGUGCAAGCGUUAAUCGGAAUUACUGGGCGUAAAGGGUGCGCAGGCGGCUGUGCAAGACAGAUGUGAAAUCCCCGGGCUUAACCUGGGAACUGCAUUUGUGACUGCACGGCUAGAGUUUGUCAGAGGAGGGUGGAAUUCCGCGUGUAGCAGUGAAAUGCGUAGAUAUGCGGAAGAACACCAAUGGCGAAGGCAGCCCUCUGGGACAUGACUGACGCUCAUGCACGAAAGCGUGGGGAGCAAACAG
RNAcentral lists this ribosomal RNA (251 nucleotides) under uncultured bacterium. RNAcentral describes it as "partial 16S ribosomal RNA". It matches the Rfam family "Bacterial small subunit ribosomal RNA", at positions 525 to 775 of the family's 1533-position model. The record is from RNAcentral.